Poecilia latipinna (sailfin molly) is the source of this 892-nucleotide long non-coding RNA. RefSeq lists it as uncharacterized. The transcript is spliced from 2 exons. Lineage: Eukaryota; Metazoa; Chordata; Actinopteri; Cyprinodontiformes; Poeciliidae. The record is from RefSeq and is a predicted model, not a curated record.
ACAUCUGACCUGUUGAGUGCUUUUGUUAGCUCAUGUUUAUUAUUUAACCAAAACAGAAAUGCUGUCCAAUGCCAGUACUUGUGUAGAACGUUCAUAGCAUGUCCCAUUUAAGCAUGUGGAUGCUAGUGGACGGAUCAGUCCUGCCAGGCUGUUGAACUAAAGUCGGAACAAUAUUUGACUGCAUUGUUCACUGAUGGCAAACAGUGCAAUAUACAUAUAUAUAUAUAUCUGAUCUUUGCAGUGUCAUUCCAGACCUUGCACCUUAGGUUCUGCCGCAUUAACACAGUGUUGGAGGAUGCUGCAGGCUUUAGGUCGUAAAAUCAGGCCGUGUCGUAGUUUCUCUUCCCCCCCUACCCCAAAAGGAGGAAUCCUUUGAGUCAGUCCAGCUGCUGAACGUAGACCGUUCAAGAGCUCCAGUGAUAAGGUAAAGCAGCAAACGCAAUGAAAUUUAAAUUCUGUGAUUGCAAAUUGUUGCUCAGAUUGAUUUGUUUCUGCCAGCCUGGGUUGACUUUAACUCUUUCAUGAUGCUACAGUGUGUUUAGAGGUUGUUUCUGAAUGCCUUUAUUUACAAAUGUACCUCUUUUUUAAGCUUUAGAAAGUUGGAUGAGAGCAGGAACUGAAACUUUAAAUGACCCAUACAGUGUUUUAGGCAGAAAAGUUGGAGGUUAUCAGUUUUUAUUUGUAGUAAAUAAAAAAUUUUAAAAAAGGUUUUUAAUUGUUUUAGACUGAGAUGCGCUAAAGUGUUUGAACACGGGUUGUAGAGGACAAAACGAGAAGCAUGCCUUAGAGGUAAAACAGGUUUCAUGUGCUGUGUAUAUUACAUUACUGGGUUGUCUUUUCAAUUACCUUUAAUAUGUUGCCAUGUUCACCAAUAAAGUUGUUACAAACGGGA